AUUAAUUGCAGUUUUGAGUUUAUCUUUAAUUCAACAGAAAAGCAAACAGGAGGACCUCCCUGAAAUAGAAGAAAUCCUUAAUCAGGUAUAUCUGGGAGUAUGGGCAUCUGAAGUUCCAGCAGUGCAGAUAAAGGAACAGCCUGCUUGGAUACAUUACUCAAUAAUCAAGAAGGAGCCAGAACCAGAAACACAUCAGAACUGAGAAAAA
Long non-coding RNA from Pezoporus occidentalis (night parrot), 208 nucleotides. RefSeq lists it as uncharacterized. The transcript is spliced from 2 exons. The record is from RefSeq and is a predicted model, not a curated record. Lineage: Eukaryota; Metazoa; Chordata; Aves; Psittaciformes; Psittacidae.